Oenanthe melanoleuca is the source of this 1575-nucleotide non-coding RNA. Lineage: Eukaryota; Metazoa; Chordata; Aves; Passeriformes; Muscicapidae. The record is from the annotation of a RefSeq genome assembly.
AUGGUUCAGUUGAGUCAACAAAAAUCGCCAAAAUCCGGGUUUUUCGCCCCAAUUCGGGGUUUUUGCGCGGCCGCCCCGCGGGUCCCGCCCACCGUGGGUGCUGCUAUUGACGCGUGGGGCAGCGGAACGACGGUGACGGUGUCGAGCGCCCCCGCCCAAGGCCCCGACCUCUUCCCGCUCUCCCCCUGCGGCUCCGGCUCCUCCUUCUCCGUCGGCUGCCUCGCCGUCGGCUUCGUGCCGGCUCCCGUCGCCUUCGCCUGGAGCGACCGCCAAAACCGCAGCGCCGACGCCGCCCUGCAGUUCCCGGCGCUGCCCUGGCGCCGGUCCGGCACUUUCCUGGCGGCCUCCAGGCUGGGGAUGGAGCUGGAGGAAGGGAAAUCCCGGCAGCCCUUCUGGUGCCGCGCCCGGCACGCCCGGGGAGACCGCAGCGUGCAGGUGUCCAACCCGGACUCCCCCCCUUCCAUCCCCCUCCCCGCCGUCCUCACCCUCCACCCGCCGGCACGGGAGGAUUUCCAAGGCCCUCACCGAAACUCCACCCUCCUCUGCCGGAUCCGCGGCUCCCGGCGCGCCGCCGCCUCCUCCCCCAUCCGCUGGCUCCGCAACGGCGCCGAAAUCCGGCACGGCGUCUCCGCCGAGGCAACGGCGCCGGAAGGGCCCGGCGUCUUCGUCGCCGGCAGCCGGUUGGCGGUGAGCGAGGCCGAGUGGGAGCGCGGCGACGUCUUCACGUGCCAGGCCGGCGAGGAGAGCCGGAACACCAGCAAGGCCAUGGAGUGCGGAUUUGACCAACCCCUCGCCGCCGGCGACAUCCGCGUCGAGCCCGUCCCCCCGCUCUUCGCCGACAUCUUCCGCCGCCAAUCCGCCCGCCUCACCUGCCGCGUCUCCAACCUGCCGGCCGGCGCCGACGGCCUGGAGGUCUCGUGGCUCAAGGAGGACGGCGAGGCCCUGCCCACCGAGACCUCGGCGCCGUCCCUGAGGCCCGACGGGCUCCUGGCGGCCGAGGGCGUGGCCACGGUCAGCGCCGAGGCCUGGGAGUCCGGCCAGGCCUUCACCUGCCGCGUGGCGCACCCGGAGCUGCUCUUCCCCAGGGAGGUCGUCAUGAGGAAAACGACGCCCCCCGACGCCUCCCCGCCCUCCAUCUACCUGCUGGCCCCGCCCCCUGAGCAGCUCCGCCUCCGCACCUGGGCCACCCUCACCUGCCUCGUCCUCGACUUCAACCCUCCCGACCUCCUCCUCCAAUGGCUGCACGACGGGCGGCCCCUCCCCCCGGGCCGCGCCCUCACCUUCCGGCCACGCCCCGACACCGGACACGCCCCUUCCGGCCACGCCUACCAGGCCGUCAGCACCUUGACGGUGCCGGCGCGCGACUGGGACGCCGGCGGCGUCUUCACCUGCCUGGUGGGGCACGAGCGGCUCCCGCUGCGCCUGGCCCAGAAAUCCCUCGACAAGUCCGCGGGUAAACCGGCCGCCGUCAACGUCUCCCUGAUUCUGAGCGAUUCCGCCUCGGCGUGUUAUUAAAAUUUGGGUUUUUUACCCCAAAAUUUGCACUUUUUCCCCACCGAAAACCCGUUUUUUCCC